Molecule: long non-coding RNA, 718 nt
Organism: Medicago truncatula (barrel medic)
Lineage: Eukaryota; Viridiplantae; Streptophyta; Magnoliopsida; Fabales; Fabaceae
Exons: 2
Source: RefSeq, a predicted model, not a curated record
CUUACACCAAAUCUCAACCGCUUAAUUAAACAAAUCCUACGGCUCAUAUAUCUCGCUAAAUAUAACAAUUAGAAACUCACGUGACACUUUUCCCUCUGCAAAAUCAUCUUUCGAUGUUACUUUGUUCCUUUCCUCACUGUCAUUGACCUUUGUUCCUCACCGCCAUCUUUCCCUUUUCCGUUUCCUCCUCACCGUACUCUUUGUUUAAUUGAGGGUUUCAUUUUCUCAGCUCUUGUCAAUCGAAGCUCAAUCUGUAAUCCCCAAACAUGAUGGGAGAAACAAGUUGAGGGUAGAUUCAUGAACAGAGUUGCAGUCUUAUUUGGAGAAAUAGGUUGAUUGUAUCAGGUUGUAUGAAACCAGACAUUCUAACUUAAUGGAUAGUAUUCUGAUGUCAAAAGCGGUACAGGGGACAAGGGUUCUUAAAUGAUGGUUGUGUGAGUGCUUAUAGGCCUGGAAAGAUGGAUUCAAACUUACGGAAUUUGUGCUCCAAACUGUUCAGAUUGAAGAUGUGAUAUCGGAAGAGGAAGAAAUUUAUAGCAAGAAGAAUGAAAUGAGAUCUUUAGCAAUUACAGGGAUUACUCAUUGUUUUUAUUUCUAAAUGGCGUAGUUUGAAUGUUCUCAUUGUAAUUUUCAGUUAGAGUUAGUUUUGUAUUAGCAUCAAAUCAAUUGUAUUGUCCAAUAUUAUAUGAAAUGAGAAUAAAAAAGUUAUUCUGCUAUA